This 48-nucleotide ribosomal RNA is filed under the name Daedalea confragosa. RNAcentral's name for it is "partial 28S ribosomal RNA". The record is from RNAcentral. Lineage: Eukaryota; Fungi; Basidiomycota; Agaricomycetes; Polyporales; Fomitopsidaceae.
CAAAUCAGGUAGGACUACCCGCUGAACUUAAGCAUAUCAAUAAGCGGA